Molecule: ribosomal RNA, 250 nt
Filed under: uncultured bacterium
Lineage: Bacteria
Description: partial 16S ribosomal RNA
Rfam family: Bacterial small subunit ribosomal RNA
Source: RNAcentral
UAGAUACCCUGGUAGUCCACGCAGUAAACGAUGAUUACUAGCUGUUAGCGAUAUAUUGUUAGUGGCUAAGCGAAAGCGAUAAGUAAUCCACCUGGGGAGUACGUUCGCAAGAAUGAAACUCAAAGGAAUUGACGGGGGCCCGCACAAGCGGAGGAACAUGUGGUUUAAUUCGAUGAUACGCGAGGAACCUUACCCGGGCUUGAAAUGCUAUCGACCGACGGAGAGAUUCGUUAUCCAGCAAUGGCGAUAG